GCUCUGGUGGGCUAUUGAGAUAAUUCAACUUCCAGAGGCUUCCUCAUAAAUUUUUGGAAUUUUUGAGACACAGAUAAACUUCGGGUGAUCAAGGUCAGCUAUUUUUCUGCAUCCAGCAUCCACAAUAGUCAUCGGUGUACUGCCACAAGAGGAGACAUUUUUCAGAAUAACCUGUCCCUUUCCUCACAGGUUAUGAAAAGAUUACUUAACUAUAUUAUUAUUAUCUAAAUUUGUAAUUUAGAACUCCGCAUGUACUAGUAGUAGCAUUAAUCCUGUCAGGGAUUGCAUGAACUUAAGUUUUUGUAUUAACAAAUGAAAAUUUUUUAUGAGUUUUAAAUAGUUUAUAAAUGGUGUAACAGGGUUGAGUUGGGCUCCCCUAAUUUUAGUUUCUGAUAAUUACUGGGCUAAGUUGGCCCGAAAUAAAGU
Hevea brasiliensis (rubber tree) is the source of this 426-nucleotide long non-coding RNA. RefSeq lists it as uncharacterized. The transcript is spliced from 3 exons. Lineage: Eukaryota; Viridiplantae; Streptophyta; Magnoliopsida; Malpighiales; Euphorbiaceae. The record is from RefSeq and is a predicted model, not a curated record.